Molecule: long non-coding RNA, 1605 nt
Organism: Raphanus sativus (radish)
Lineage: Eukaryota; Viridiplantae; Streptophyta; Magnoliopsida; Brassicales; Brassicaceae
Exons: 2
Source: RefSeq, a predicted model, not a curated record
UUCAACCUAUAAGAAAAACAAAAUAUAUUAUUAAUUAGUUACUCUAAAGAUAAUGAACAUAAACAUUAUCUUUUUUUUUCUCUUCUUUGUUGUUCCGUAUCUUGAUUUCUCGUUGAUAACUACACAUAAAUCUUUGGUUACCCUGCUUUAAUCACCACCAUCUAUACAAUGAAAAUUACCUUCACCUUCGAUUUUUGUUCGUUUUCGCCAGAAUCGCCACCAUCUUUUCCUCACAUCUCACCACUAUCUAUUAUUUUCUUAGAUCUACUGUACCAACAACAAAAUUACUUCCUCUAUCGCAUGAUACAUGUACUAUCUUUACCGUUACAGCCACAUACACUUCUUUUUUGUCUCCGUGAGGUACCAAAAAUUGAUCGGAGAAGAUGAACAACUUAUUGUGUUCUAUACUAUUAUAUACAUAUAGAAUAGAAAUAAAAUAUGUAUUAUGUGUUCUUUAUGAAGAAAGCAAAUAAUUUCAGAAACUCAUAUCAAAGAAGUAGGUGGAGCAACUAUAGUCACAACUAAGAAGACGAUGAAGCAGAGGCAAGACCCUGAUUACAUAAUCAAGGUCGGUAAAGAUGAAACCUAUGAAGACAAGAUCAUGUAUUAUGUAAAUAGAAUAUACAUUUAUAUACUAUUUUAUAUAAGAUCUCAAUGUAUUAUGUAUUGAACAGCUAAAUGUGACUAAGUCUCUAAUACUAGAAAACAAUUUAUAGAUUAUAUUUGGGUUCAUAAGAUCCUAAUUAAGGUUUAGAUUUACUAAGUAUGGGUUUGAGUGGAUUUGGAGUCCUAUGCUAUUUAGACGAUAUGGUAUAGAACUUGGAUUCAUAUUUAUAUAGUAUGCAAGCGUGUAGUGUUAGUGCUAUUACAUAAUCAAAGUCAGUGAAGACGAAACCUACGAGGACAAGAUCCAUACUAUGUAUUAUGUAUAUAGAAUAUACAUUUAUAUACUAUUUUAUAUAAGAUAUAUAUUAUGUAUUAUGUAUUGAACAAGUAAAUGUGACUUUAAGUCUCUAAUAUUAGAAAACAAUUCAUAGAUUGAAUUUUGGUUCAUAGGAUCAUAUCUGGGAUUUAGAUUUAGUAAGUACAUGUUUGAGUGGAUUUGGAGUCAUGUGUUAUUUAGACGAUAUGGUAUAGAAAAUUUGGAUUCAUAUUUAUAUAGUACACAAAGGUGUGGUGUUAGUGCCAUUACGUGGACUGAUAAUUAAUAGUGGAGUUUUUACAAUAGACAACUUCAUCUACUUUUCGUCUCUUUCACCGGCUAUUGGCACAACAUGAGGGUAUAACCUGCUGAAAAUAGUGAGACUUGCUCCUGAGGAGACGUCAAUUUAACUGGCUGGUUUUGAGCAGAAUGCUAUCUCGGUUAUAGGUAUGAAGACAAAGAUACCGGUACGUUGACCGAUUUUGCCAUAUGCUCUGGUGAUCAUCUCUUGGUGCUUGCUCACUGCUGUUACAAUAGUCUCUACAAUAUUAAUGACAUAUGUAAGACAUGGAGAGUAGAAUGAGAGUAACCUCUACCCACUUGUGUUUUCUUUUCCUAGACAAACAGUUUUGGGUUGUCUUUUGUGUUUAUAAAUAGUUACAGAGAGUUUUCCCUUUCACACA